UGUACUUUUAUUGCUUAACCUUCUACUGAGGCUUCCACAUUGCCUAUCAAUCCAACAGUUGUGCUGCCCCAAUCUGCUAGUGGACCCAUGUUCAAGGCUCUUGAUGAUCAUUGCUAUACUCUUGAGCCUACAGUUAAGUUAAGAGGAACGCCAAAAUUUCUUACCAAGAAGCCUAGCAUACCAGAAAAAUCAGAGAAAAUAGUGGGGAAAGUGAAGAGUGUAGAAAAUGAUAUGGAAAGUUUCCUGGGACUUGUGGGUAAAGAAGAUGUUUCAUAUAAAUACUGGGGCAUGUCUUCAAGUAU
RNAcentral lists this long non-coding RNA (302 nucleotides) under Capsicum annuum. RNAcentral's name for it is "long non-coding RNA (CANN_LNC019676)". Lineage: Eukaryota; Viridiplantae; Streptophyta; Magnoliopsida; Solanales; Solanaceae. The record is from RNAcentral.